CUACGUGCCAGCAGCCGCGGUAAUACGGAGGGUGCGAGCGUUAAUCGGAAUAACUGGGCGUAAAGGGCACGCAGGCGGUGACUUAAGUGAGGUGUGAAAGCCCCGGGCUUAACCUGGGAAUUGCAUUUCAUACUGGGUCGCUAGAGUACUUUAGGGAGGGGUAGAAUUCCACGUGUAGCGGUGAAAUGCGUAGAGAUGUGGAGGAAUACCGAAGGCGAAGGCAGCCCCUUGGGAAUGUACUGACGCUCAUGUGCGAAAGCGUGGGGAGCAAACAGGAUUAGAUACCCUGGUAGUCCACGCUGUAAACGAUGUCGAUUUGGGGGUUGAACUAUAAGUUUGGCGCCCGUAGCUAACGUGAUAAAUCGACCGCCUGGGGAGUACGGCCGCAAGGUUAAAACUCAAAUGAAUUGACGGGGGCCCGCACAAGCGGUGGAGCAUGUGGUUUAAUUCGAUGCAACGCGAAGAACCUUACCUACUCUUGACAUCCAGA
RNAcentral lists this ribosomal RNA (490 nucleotides) under uncultured bacterium. Its description in RNAcentral is "bacterial SSU rRNA". It matches the Rfam family "Bacterial small subunit ribosomal RNA", at positions 501 to 992 of the family's 1533-position model. The record is from RNAcentral.